AAAAAGAUAAGCUAAAUGUAAGCUAACGGGCUCAUACCCCGUCUAUGAAGGCCACUUCUCUUUUUA
RNAcentral lists this transfer RNA (66 nucleotides) under Alpheus bellulus. RNAcentral describes it as "tRNA-Met". Lineage: Eukaryota; Metazoa; Arthropoda; Malacostraca; Decapoda; Alpheidae. The record is from RNAcentral.